AGUGAACGCUGGCGGCGUGCCUAAUACAUGCAAGUCGAACGAUGAAGCUCUAGCUUGCUAGAGUGGAUUAGUGGCGCACGGGUGAGUAAUGCAUAGGUUAUGUGUCCUUUAGUCUAGGAUAGCCAUUGGAAACGAUGAUUAAUACUGAUACUACCUACGGGGGAAAGUUUUUCGCUAAAGGAUCAGCCUAUGGCCUAUCAGCUUGUUGGUGAGGUAAUGGCUCACCAAGGCUAUGACGGGUAUCCGGCCUGAGAGGAUGAACGAACACACUGGAACGUAGACACGUGACAGAAGCCUACGGGAGGAAGCAGUAGGGAAUAUUGCUCAAUGGGGGAAACCCUGAAGCAGCAGCGCCGCGUGGAGGAUGAAGGUUUUCGGAUUGUAAACUCCUUUUCUAAGAGAAGAUUAUGACGGUAUCUUAGGAAUAAGCACCGGCUAACUCCGUGCCAGCAGCCGCGGUAA
Molecule: ribosomal RNA, 462 nt
Filed under: uncultured bacterium
Lineage: Bacteria
Description: partial 16S ribosomal RNA
Rfam family: Bacterial small subunit ribosomal RNA
Source: RNAcentral